UAUCAUUAUUAUACAAAGUAUAACAAAUGUAAAGAUUUUUCCACAUAUUUUACCUGUUAAUAUUUUUAGCACAACAGCACCUGAUGUCAUUGAGAUGUAGAGGUGUUACAAAGAUUCCAAUACAGCAAAAAAAGGCGUUCUUGAGAAUCCAUUUCGAUUGCUGUAUCAACAUAACAUUUACUAUAAUGGGAUCCAUGUCACUUAAGACAAUGUCUUGGAAAUGCUGUCAAUUAAUUUAUUCCGUAAAAGAAUAUUGGAGAGUAUCCAAUCUAUACACAUCAAAAACAGUGUAAAAAUGUUUCAUGAAAAAACAAAAUAAAAAAAGCAAAGACAAAGACAAAUACCAACUCCAUCACCACGGUGAUAACAGAUUAUGCUGAUUCAAUAUCUGCAACCAAUUCUAGCCAAAUAUUUGGAAAGCUGGACUCUACAACCUAUACUCUACAACAAAUACCCGGGUAUUCUACAAACACAACCUCCAGCAAUGUAUCUAAGGAAUGUAAACUUCUACAGGCCUUUAAAGACUUUGGAUUACAAAUACAAUUACUACUUUUAACUUUGGAUUACAAUUCGUAUCCGGAUCCAUCCAAGAAUAUCUUGCUCUGGAACUUGGUGUUCAUUUCAAUUCUUUCCCAGACAAAAGCUUUGCUCAUUUUAAUCAACCACCUUUACAUGCAAAGAUCACACUACGGAUAUUUUACUGUUACAACAAUGAUCAAAGAUGCUGGGAGCACAAAAAAACCUAAAGACUGUUGGAGAACGUUGGUUUACUAAUUUAAGGAAGAAAUGCGCUAUAAUGCUCACAGUUUAAUGGAGAGGGUGUUAUGGGCAAAUGCAAAUAUUACAAGUUUUAGAAUGAAAUGUUGUAUUUCUUAAACUGUGUACUUUGUCUUUAAGAGAUAUUGCAAACUGACAAGGUGUUAGAAAUGGAACAUAUUGUUUUUCAUAACUGUUUCUUUAAGCAAUAACUUCAGUGCAUAAUAUGUUUGCGCCAUUUUAUCCCAGACGAAUUACAAUAACAAUAAUGUAUAAACAAGCUUCAAGGCUAUGCUACGACUCUUUCAGUACACAAUAUACUGUGAUAACCCCAAGUUAAUGGAACUUCCCCAAAUCUGGGAAUCUCCCACGACUGUACACUUACAACUUAGUAUAAACAACAGAUAACCUAUUCAGACUUUAAGAUGCCAUCUUGAACUAAGUCAGGAAAAUUUCCAUGACGUAUACAC
Molecule: non-coding RNA, 1226 nt
Organism: Pelobates cultripes (western spadefoot toad)
Lineage: Eukaryota; Metazoa; Chordata; Amphibia; Anura; Pelobatidae
Source: the annotation of a GenBank genome assembly